GGGGGUAUAGCUCAGAGUGGGGGGUAGAGCAUUCGACUGCAGAACGAGAGGUCCCCGGUUUAAACCCGGGUGUCCUCU
This 78-nucleotide transfer RNA is filed under the name Trichonephila inaurata madagascariensis. It matches the Rfam family "tRNA". From Rfam's summary of the family: Transfer RNA (tRNA) molecules are approximately 80 nucleotides in length. Their secondary structure includes four short double-helical elements and three loops (D, anti-codon, and T loops). Lineage: Eukaryota; Metazoa; Arthropoda; Arachnida; Araneae; Nephilidae. The record is from Rfam by way of RNAcentral.